UGCGCCAUCAAAUAAUGUGUCCU
RNAcentral lists this small nuclear RNA (23 nucleotides) under Arabidopsis thaliana (thale cress). RNAcentral describes it as "snRNA_17695". Lineage: Eukaryota; Viridiplantae; Streptophyta; Magnoliopsida; Brassicales; Brassicaceae. The record is from RNAcentral.